RNAcentral lists this ribosomal RNA (253 nucleotides) under uncultured bacterium. RNAcentral describes it as "partial 16S ribosomal RNA". It matches the Rfam family "Bacterial small subunit ribosomal RNA", at positions 524 to 776 of the family's 1533-position model. The record is from RNAcentral.
GACGUAGGGGGCGAGCGUUGUCCGGAUUUAUUGGGCGUAAAGCGUGCGUAGGCGGCUGCGCAAGUCGGGUGUGAAACCCCGGGGCUCAACCCCGGAACUGCAUCCGAUACUGCGUGGCUAGAGGUAGGUAGGGGAGAUCGGAAUUCCUGGUGUAGCGGUGAAAUGCGCAGAUAUCAGGAGGAACACCGGUGGCGAAGGCGGGUCUCUGGGCCGAUACUGACGCUGAGGAGCGAAAGCAUGGGGAGCGAACAGG